Molecule: long non-coding RNA, 2282 nt
Organism: Anas platyrhynchos (mallard)
Lineage: Eukaryota; Metazoa; Chordata; Aves; Anseriformes; Anatidae
Source: RefSeq, a predicted model, not a curated record
UUGGCUCCCCAGGAGAGACUGAGGCUUGGGAAGCCGAGGGUGUUUUUCUCUCGUGCUGAAUCGGGCUCAUUGUUCCCUACCAGGUUGCUUUUCCUUCAUGUUUUCUACCCUCUCUGUGAAAUAGUAUUAGAGACUCUAUGAGCUAGUUAUAUUGGCGGUGACUUCUGCAGAAAAACCCGGGUGCCACUAUUUCACUGCAAAGCACUUUGGAAGUGACUCGACUUCAGAAGACAGCAGGAAUGGAUGCAAUGUGAAGCUGAAAAUCUGUUUCUCUUCAGAGAUUGUGCUCCAAAAGCUCCCUGAAUCAAGCAGAAAAUGUCAGUUGACUCUAUGCAUUUAUUUUAGUCUUGUUCAAAGGUGAGAAACUGGAGAAGAGACAGACCAGAUAUUACAUAGCUGUUUGGGAGGUCUGUGAAGAUGCUGAGCAUACUGGGUAAAAGUAUUGUAUUAUGGAAAGCAUUGGACAAAACUCAAUUAAAAAGGUCACGUGUGCAUUUUCAAGCUCUUUCUCCUGUUCAAACAACAGCUAUGCAAAUAGAACAGGCACAUGAAUUUAAAAUCUGCCUAUGCCGCCUAUUUUCUUUGCUCCUAUCCUUUUAAGUGCCUAUAAAUAAUAAUACAAACUAAGGCAUUAUGGUCCGAUGCUGUAUCUGGAGCACGCUUCAAAUAAUGAAGUUUUUGGAGAAGCUCCUACUGUUAUUAGAGAUAGCUUUGUAGUUUGGUCAGUAUUCAUUCUGGUAGAUUGCAUGUGAGCCACAAUCAUAGUCAAUGAUGGACUUUUUACAGUUCUAUAGUUAAAAGGCUAUCUUUUCAUGUUGACUAUUUUUAAAUUCAUGAUCAGGUUAGAGGUCCUAGUCUUAGUUCAGAAAAUGACAUUCUUUACAGAACUGGGCAAAUAAUUUUAAUAUAAAUUAGGUAAGGCAAGCUUAUUAAUCAUUUAAGACUGUCAGAAUUUGAACUUAUUUUGGAAUAUAUUGAGUUUAACUUUAGGAAAACAGCUUUAUUAUGUUGUAGGUUGACUAAGCCUAAAACACUAUCUUGAGUUAACAACCCAGAGAGUAAUGCAUAUAGGGCUUGCAAAGGCUCAUAAACUCCUCAGCUAAUUUAGCAGGAGGCUCUAUCUUCCAACCUUAUUAACAAUAAAAUAUUUUAAAUAAACUCCAACAAAAUGAUUGCGGGGUUUCUUCUACUACCUUAUGGCUGUUGUCACACUGCAACUAUUAAAGUAAUGUUAUUUUAAUGGGAAUAUAUAUGUACACACAUAGCAGUCAGAUGCUUUAUUGUACAAGCACAAUUAUACAUGCCUUUUGGUACAGAGGUCACAAUUACUGAGGUAGUAUUUGCCAGCUGUUGCACACAGCAUUAUCUGUGAAACUGCAUGUUUGCCCAGCAAUCAGAACUGGCUAAAAUGCGAAAGUAAAGGUGCUUGUACAUAAGGUGAUUACUAUGGUCAUUGUUACUAUGCAGUAGAGUUACUGCAGUUGCAGUCUUACUAACAGAGAGGGGAAGGAUAGAUGCCUGCCUGUUUCUAGGAGCUCCUGUCUGCCAGUUUAGCGACAGCACUUCUGUGGUGAUUGAAUGUGAUACCCCACUUUAAAAUCAAAUCAGAACAACAGGAAGCAACUUCUGCAGGUGCCUUACUACAUGUAGAUAACUACCUCAGAACAGAAGCCUGACUUCUGGGUAGCUACUUUUAAAUUCAACCCCACCUGUAAGAAUUGUACAGGGAUGUUCUAGAUGGGGUGUAAAAAGCAAUGAGAAUCCCCGCCCUUGGUUCACUGUUUGUGAUGGUGUUAAUGCAGCCAUGAUGCUCUUGGCUUUCAUUGAUGCCAGGCCUGAGCUGGCACACCCUCGUCUCCAGUGUCCACCAGGACAUAAUGGCUGGUUUCCACAGAGCUGUAGCCUGAGUCAUUGCCAGGGCUUCUUCCCUUCCAGGAGUGGGACUUGGUCUUGGUCCUUGAUGAAUUUCACAAGGUUCCUGUUAGGCUUUUCCUCUAGCCUCUGCAGGUGCCUCUGAAUGGAGGCCCUGCCCUUCAGUGGAUCGACUGCUCCCCCCAGCACUGCCCCAAUUUGGUGUCAUGUACAAGCUUGAUGAGAGUAGCCUCUGUGGCUUCCUUCAGGUCAUUGAUGAAGAUUUGAAGGACAGAAGCCAGGACAGGCCCCGAGUGUAUUUUGCUUGCUACCUCCAGGUAGAGCGUGACCCACCAAGAGCUGCCCUCUCAGCCUGCCCACCCCACUGGUUUUCCAUCCAUGUAGCUGUCUAUGCAUCCAGCAUAAUGCAA